Molecule: long non-coding RNA, 1141 nt
Organism: Patella vulgata (common limpet)
Lineage: Eukaryota; Metazoa; Mollusca; Gastropoda; Patellidae
Exons: 2
Source: RefSeq, a predicted model, not a curated record
GUAACAUAAUUAAACCUGUUGCUUAAAGAAACGGCAGUAGCACCUGAAUUAAAUGGAGCAUUCCGGCUGAUAAUGAAGUGUGCACCUUUCCGCGAUGAGAUUUCAGUUGAAUCGGACGAAUCGGAAGAGGAAUCUAAACGAGAGGAGUCUGCUUGUAGUAAGUAUUUAAAAAUGGAAAUCAUCGAAAUUAUAUUUUGUACAGACCAUUUAUAAACCGGGGCCACAGGGGCUCGGUGAUUAAGUCGCUGACUCAUUAACCAGCAGGUCCGGGUUCGAUCCCGGUGUUGGGUGAGAAAUUUCCAUGUAGGAUUUAUAAGUGGUGUAGCAUGGAUAGUGUGACAAAGAAGACUCGCUCCCGGUGUUGGUCGAGAACGUUCGUCGAGAUUUUCCGGUGGGGUUUCCCCUUGUCAUUGCAGGACGUAAAAGAUCCCAUGGCAGUUUGAAUUCGAUAUAAAAAUAGACCGUAGCGCCGCUGUCCGGGCAAAAUUGCUUAUAGCAUAUUGCAUGACGUAUGCCCGUUUUCAUUAGCCCAGUCAGAGCAGAACAUUUUAUUUGGUUAAUCGCGGUGGCGAACAAAUUGGUUAUUAGUAUUGAAAAGUUCAUGAAUAAAUGUAUACGUCAAUGUUUGAUGGGUCGUCCAAACCCAAAUAAUAUGACACAUGGUGGGGCUUAUAAACAUUAAGAUGGGAUUGUUUCCAUGGACGACUUUGAUGUAAAAGGACCCAGACACGUACUUUUAAAUCUGAUAAAACACAGAUCCUAUUCGUUCCGUUUUUUUAUAGUUCAAAAUUUCGUUUUACUUGUCUUCACAGCACUAGAAUCUGGAAGAGUUGUUAUAUAACAGGCGUUCUGUCUGAUGUGAGGAAUUAGUCAAUGAACCGGCCUGUUACGGUGACUUCUUGGCGCGCCGUGCAUGGAACUGUUGUUAAACCACUAGAAACGUCAACGCUGGUUGAUUAAUCAAUGCCUGACGUCAUAGGGUGAAAAGACGCUCGUAUGACUCCUGAAACGAACUCGCACUACAGUCAGAUCUUCGUGUGGUAGAGGCCGUCAAAAGUACAAAAAACGAAACGAAAUAUAGAUCUGUAUUUUAAUCGGAUCGGGGUGAGAUGUUUGUAAUCUAUAAACGUAAUGUCUAACA